RNAcentral lists this ribosomal RNA (353 nucleotides) under Florenciella parvula. RNAcentral describes it as "partial Bacterial large subunit ribosomal RNA". It matches the Rfam family "Bacterial large subunit ribosomal RNA", at positions 1104 to 1464 of the family's 2925-position model. Lineage: Eukaryota; Dictyochophyceae; Florenciellales. The record is from RNAcentral.
GCUUAGAAGCAGCCAUCCUUUAAAGAAAGCGUAACAGCUCACUGAUCAAGCGCCUCUGCGCGGAAAAUGUAUCGGGACUAAAGUUAUUCGCCGAAAUUGCGGACUCGAAAGAGUGGUAGCGGAGCGUUCCGUAAGCCUGUGAAGGUGAACCGUGAGGUUUGCUGGAGGUAUCGGAAGUGAGAAUGCUGACAUGAGUAGCGACAAACAGGGUGAGAGACCCUGUCGCCGAAAGUCCAAGGGUUCCUGCUUAAAGCUAAUCUGAGCAGGGUAAGCCGACCCCUAAGGCGAGGCCGAAAGGCGUAGUCGAUGGGAACCACGUUAAUAUUCGUGGGCCAAGGGAUGAGUGACGGAUU